UGGGAGCAAGCUUUAUAAGCGUUUCAUUUACACUGAAGAGUUGCUUGCCUAAUUCGGCAGGGCUCCUAA
Molecule: transfer RNA, 69 nt
Filed under: Lepas anatifera
Lineage: Eukaryota; Metazoa; Arthropoda; Thecostraca; Lepadidae
Description: tRNA-Val
Source: RNAcentral